UAUAUUAAAGUUGUUGCGGUUAAAAAGCUCGUAGUUGGAUCUCAGUUCCGGACGUGCGGUUCUCCUUGUGAGAUUGACUGUGCGUCCGAACAGCUCGUCGGCUCGCACGGGGUGCUCUUCAUCGAGUGUCCCGGGUGGCCGGCAUGUUUACUUUGAAAAAAUUAGAGUGCUCAAAGCAGGCUAUAGCCUGAAUAGUUGUGCAUGGAAUAAUGUAAUAGGACCUCGGUUCUAUUUUGUUGGUUUUCGGAACCCGAGGUAAUGAUUAAUAGAGACGGACGGGGGCAUUCGUAUUGCGACGCUAGAGGUGAAAUUCUUGGACCGUCGCAAGACGUACUACUGCGAAAGCAUUUGCCAAGAACGUUCUCAUUAAUCAAGAACGAAAGUUAGAGGUUCGAAGGCGAUCAGAUACCGCCCUAGUUCUAACCUUAAACGUUGCUGACUAGCGAUUCGUGUUUGUUAAUCCCAUGACUACACGAGCAGCUUCCGGGAAACCAAAGUGUUUGAGUUCCGGGGGAAGUAUGGUUGCAAAGCUGAAACUUAAAGGAAUUGACGGAAGGGCACCACCAGGAGUGGAGCCUGCGGCUUAAUUUGACUCAACACGGGGAACCUCACCAGGCCCGGACACUGGAAGGAUUGACAGAUUGAGAGCUCUUUCUUGAUUCAGUGGGUGGUGGUGCAUGGCCGUUCUUAGUUGGUGGAGCGAUUUGUCUGGUUAAUUCCGAUAACGAACGAGACUCUAGCCUGCUAACUAGUCGUGUCAUCUACAUACAAGUGUGACACGUAGCUUCUUAGAGGGAUAAGCAGCAUCUAGCUGC
This 815-nucleotide ribosomal RNA is filed under the name Harmelinella mariannae. Its description in RNAcentral is "bacterial SSU rRNA". It matches the Rfam family "Eukaryotic small subunit ribosomal RNA", at positions 600 to 1437 of the family's 1831-position model. The record is from RNAcentral. Lineage: Eukaryota; Metazoa; Arthropoda; Malacostraca; Mysida; Mysidae.